CAGUCGCCGCGGUAAUACAGAGGGUGCGAGCGUUAAUCGGAUUUACUGGGCGUAAAGCGUGCGUAGGCGGCUAAUUGAGUCGGAUGUGAAAUCCCCGAGCUUAACUUGGGAAUUGCAUUCGAUACUGGUUAGCUAGAGUGUGGGAGAGGAUGGUAGAAUUCCAGGUGUAGCGGUGAAAUGCGUAGAGAUCUGGAGGAAUACCGAUGCGAAGGCAGCCAUCUGGCCUAACACUGACGCUGAGGUACGAAAGCAUGGGGAGCAAACAGGAUUAGAUACCCGUGUAGUCCCUGUCUCUUAUACA
Molecule: ribosomal RNA, 301 nt
Filed under: uncultured bacterium
Lineage: Bacteria
Description: partial 16S ribosomal RNA
Rfam family: Bacterial small subunit ribosomal RNA
Source: RNAcentral